RNAcentral lists this ribosomal RNA (465 nucleotides) under Vreelandella stevensii. RNAcentral describes it as "partial 16S ribosomal RNA". It matches the Rfam family "Bacterial small subunit ribosomal RNA", at positions 338 to 795 of the family's 1533-position model. The record is from RNAcentral. Lineage: Bacteria; Pseudomonadati; Pseudomonadota; Gammaproteobacteria; Oceanospirillales; Halomonadaceae.
CCUACGGGAGGCAGCAGUGGGGAAUAUUGGACAAUGGGGGCAACCCUGAUCCAGCCAUGCCGCGUGUGUGAAGAAGGCCCUCGGGUUGUAAAGCACUUUCAGUGAGGAAGAACGCCUGGUGGUUAAUACCCAUCAGGAAAGACAUCACUCACAGAAGAAGCACCGGCUAACUCCGUGCCAGCAGCCGCGGUAAUACGGAGGGUGCGAGCGUUAAUCGGAAUUACUGGGCGUAAAGCGCGCGUAGGUGGCUUGAUAAGCCGGUUGUGAAAGCCCCGGCCUCAACCUGGGAACGGCAUCCGGAACUGUCAAGCUAGAGUGCAGGAGAGGAAGGUAGAAUUCCCGGUGUAGCGGUGAAAUGCGUAGAGAUCGGGAGGAAUACCAGUGGCGAAGGCGGCCUUCUGGACUGACACUGACACUGAGGUGCGAAAGCGUGGGUAGCAAACAGGAUUAGAUACCCUAGUAGUC